AUUACAUGGAAAAAUAUGAUUUGCUAACACUUACAAUUAAAUUUCAUUGGUCUGCUACCCAGUGCCAAAAGGGAGGAGGCGUGUUUUCAUUUCAAUAGUGUGGCACAAGCGAUAGCAAACCAAUUCAUCCUUCGCUGAGGAGCACCAACUAAAAAAUUUGAUCUGAUCAGAGAGAGUGGCUAACAUUAUGUUGACAUGAAAACAUCUAAAUUUCAAUGCAGAAUUCAGAAGCCCUGAAUUUGCACAUAAUCUUGCUCCUUAAAAAUUUUUAACAUUUGUAUGGAAGUAUUUUUGAGCCAGAUCUCACCUCAUACUCGCAUUCAGAAGCUGGUUAUCUGUUACAGCAACAGGACCAAAUUAAAAUCACAAUUGUAAAACUUCCUUUCCUUUGUUUGGAGCAUUACUGUAUUUACACACAGCCACAGUCGAAUGAAGCCACACAACACCAUUUGAUCUUUUAAAUUUACUUGAAAAUAUGAUCAAAGGGGGGUGUAAAAAUACUAAACAUCAGACCAAAAUACAAGAAGUCUUUAUGUGCCACAGAGAUCUGAAUGUGUGAACAACACCAUAAAAUAACAAUUGCCAAACAGACAACACUGAAACAGGUGAACACAUUUCUGCCCACAGAUCUGACUGUAAUGAGAGCAAAUGCAACUAAAGCCAUGGACAUUGGUCCAUUGGAGUUCAGGACGGUAUGGGUGAUAAAAACACCAAUUAAUCUAGAAAAUGUGCCCAGCAGAACUGGGGUCUCUAAUGCUCAUGACACAGCAGACUGUGAAGGCUCGACUGCAAGAGCAGCAUUCAGAUGUUACACACUCAGACUGCACUGAAGCAGUGGCAGUGAUACAGAUCUGACCAACGGAACUCUGUUUCAUGUGACAUCUGGAAUUUAAAUUACAAUACAUGAGGGUUGACCACUACAAUUCUUUGGAGAACAGAUACCAGGAAGGUGCCUGGUCCCAUCUGCAUCAAACCAGGACAACAGAAUUGUUAGAACAUAACCUGAAAUGUGGGAGAUGGAUGCGAAGACACUUGAAGGGGCCAUUCACACCUCACAGCAGAACAUCACUACACACAUAUCCACAUGGCCUCCCGGAUUAGAACCGGAACUAAAUUUUUGCAACACAGAUUGCUAUAGAUUAGACUCCAUCCAUCUCCCAGACAUGAGUACAGAACACACACCUCCACCAUUGCAUCACCUUAUUUAGACUAUCCAGUCUGUACACUACAAACAGAAGACAAUGAUGGCUUGGAUUACAAAUGUGGUACUCCACUAAAGAUCUAUUGACCAUCUUCACACUGACAGAACCACAUAGCCUCACACACACAGGACAACAGAAUUAAUUACAUUCCAAAAGAUACAACAUAUCUACUAUCUGCAACCAUCUGAAAACUCAUGGAACAACACUCUAACACACAUUUACACGACUAGUCACAGAUCGAUGGCGCAAAUUUUUGAACACAGAGGCAGACGAGCCUUUGAAAUUUAAAAUAUUGAAUCUUUCUGAUUGUUAUUAGGGUGGUUGACAAGCCAGAGGGCCCCUGGUUUCCCAAUACAUCACUAAUAACAAAAAACAUUAUCAAAAUUAUUAAAUGUGAAAUGCCUGCACUUCAUUUCUAUCAAUCAAUCAUAAAAAUAUACAAUUUUACCAAACCAUCAACUGUGACUUAGCCUGCAUAUCACACACACAUGCAUAUCACACACACACACACACACACACACACACACACACACACACACACACACACACACACACACACA
Cyprinus carpio carpio is the source of this 1762-nucleotide long non-coding RNA. Lineage: Eukaryota; Metazoa; Chordata; Actinopteri; Cypriniformes; Cyprinidae. The record is from Ensembl.